UUGUAGAACUAAUGAGUAAGGAAAAUAACGGUUUGGGGUGAUGCCCGGGUCUUCAUCACCUUGUGCGCGAGGAAUUUUUGAGAAUAAAGGUCGCCCUGCAGGUGACCUGCCUACUUUCUGGGAUGCCGUAGAGCAGUGAUCUGAAAA
This is a small nuclear RNA of Carcharodon carcharias (great white shark), 147 nucleotides long. RefSeq annotates it as U12 minor spliceosomal RNA. The record is from RefSeq and is a predicted model, not a curated record. Lineage: Eukaryota; Metazoa; Chordata; Chondrichthyes; Lamniformes; Lamnidae. The transcript has a single exon.